This 130-nucleotide microRNA precursor is filed under the name Olea europaea subsp. europaea. The record is from RNAcentral. Lineage: Eukaryota; Viridiplantae; Streptophyta; Magnoliopsida; Lamiales; Oleaceae.
CGUAUGUACAUAUGUACAUACAUACAUACUUAUGUAUACAUAUGUAUGUACAUACACAUACAUACAUAUGUAUGUAUGUAUGUACAUACGCACAUACAUAAGUAUCUAUGUAUGUACAUAUAUACAUAUG